AUGAACGCUGGCGGCGUGCCUAAUACAUGCAAGUCGAGCGAACAGACGAGAGUGCUUGCACUCUCUGACGUUAGCGGCGGACGGGUGAGUAACACGUGGGUAACCUACCUAUAAGACUGGGAUAACUUCGGGAAACCGGAGCUAAUACCGGAUAAUAUUUAGCUUCGCAUGAAGCAAUAGUGAAAGACGGUUCUGCUGUCACUUAUAGAUGGACCCGCGGUGUAUUAGCUAGUUGGUAAGGUAACGGCUCACCAAGGCAACGAUACAUAGCCGACCUGAGAGGGUGAUCGGCCACACUGGGACUGAGACACGGCCCAGACUCCUACGGGAGGCAGCAGUAGGGAAUCUUCCGCAAUGGACGAAAGUCUGACGGAGCAAUGCCGCGUGAGUGAAGAAGGUUUUCGGAUCGUAAAACUCUGUUGUAAGGGAAGAACAAGUACGUUAGUAACUGAACGUACCUUGACGGUACCUUACCAGAAAGCCACGGCUAACUACGUG
RNAcentral lists this ribosomal RNA (498 nucleotides) under uncultured bacterium. RNAcentral describes it as "partial 16S ribosomal RNA". It matches the Rfam family "Bacterial small subunit ribosomal RNA", at positions 29 to 507 of the family's 1533-position model. The record is from RNAcentral.